This 435-nucleotide ribosomal RNA is filed under the name uncultured Anaerovorax sp. RNAcentral describes it as "partial 16S ribosomal RNA". It matches the Rfam family "Bacterial small subunit ribosomal RNA", at positions 341 to 792 of the family's 1533-position model. The record is from RNAcentral. Lineage: Bacteria; Bacillati; Bacillota; Clostridia; Peptostreptococcales; Anaerovoracaceae.
ACGGGAGGCAGCAGUGGGGGAUAUUGCACAAUGGGGGAAACCCUGAUGCAGCAACGCCGCGUGAAGGAUGAAGGUCUUCGGAUCGUAAACUUCUGUCCUUGGGGACGAAUCAAUGACGGUACCCUUGGAGGAAGCCCCGGCUAACUACGUGCCAGCAGCCGCGGUAAUACGUAGGGGGCGAGCGUUAUCCGGAAUUAUUGGGCGUAAAGAGUGCGUAGGUGGUUUCUUAAGCGCGGGGUGAAAGGCUAUGGCUUAACCAUAGUUAGCCUUGCGAACUGGGAAACUUGAGUGCAGGAGGGGAAAGCGGAAUUCCUAGUGUAGCGGUGAAAUGCGUAGAUAUUAGGAGGAACACCAGUGGCGAAGGCGGCUUUCUGGACUGUAACUGACACUGAGGCACGAAAGUGUGGGGAGCAAACAGGAUUAGAUACCCUGGUA